GACCAUUCAUUUAGGAUAUCUAAAGUAGUGUGCCUAUAUCCCAUAUGCUAAUCUAUUCUUUUACUUUACAGGCAAUAUGUGUUGCAGACUUGGUAAUUGUGAUGGAUAAAGGACAUGUGAAGUGGGUGGAUAAUCAAGCUGAGUUUUCUUGUCCUUCUAAUGUAGCGUUCUCAACAAUCGAUGAACUUAGCACUUGUUCUGAAGUUCAGUGGCAGGUUAAAAGAUCAAAUAUUUCUAGUGAGAUCCAACAGAAAGUUUCAGAGGGUGAUUUUAUAUUUAGUCCUGGUAGAAAUCAAGACACUGAUGAAUCGGAGGCUUGGAAAGAAGGAAAAGUCGAAUGGCGGGCACUAUAUACAUAUCAAAGGAGUUGCAGUUACAAAAUAUAAACGAUACAUCUUUGGGGACUCACGAUGGAACAUCAGUCCUGAUUGAUUUGCAUCUUCUGUGUAUUGCAGUAACGCAGAAUAUGAUAACAGUUAAACAAUAACAUUUUGAUUGUUUAUUUCAAGUAGGAUAAUCAAAUUAUGAUGGUUUUGAUAUUUUUA
Nicotiana attenuata is the source of this 545-nucleotide long non-coding RNA. RefSeq lists it as uncharacterized. The record is from RefSeq and is a predicted model, not a curated record. NCBI's taxonomy places the organism in Eukaryota, Viridiplantae, Streptophyta, Magnoliopsida, Solanales, Solanaceae. The transcript has 2 exons.